GAACAUGUCUGCCUGGUUUGAUGUGUGGUGGCCUUAUUUAUAUAAGUAACAUUAUGUUAAGACAUUUAAUUAAUAAAUUAAAAAGUGAAUCAAUCAAUAAAUAAAGAUUUUAAUGUUAUAAUUUCUAACCAAGAAUAAUUCUAUUUUCUAAUUUUAUGCAAAAAAAUAGAAUAUUUGUCUUUUAUAAUUUUUUAAUUAAAAAAAGGUGCCAAAAGAAUAAAAAAAAUAAUAAUAAUAGAAAACAAAAAUUAAAUAUAAAAAUAAAAAAUAAAAACCAAAAAAGAUAUUUAAAAACCUAAAAGAAAGAAAAAUUAGUUUUUUUGGUACUUUUUGACCUUUUAGCAAAAAUAACAAAAUAAAAGGAAUGACAAUGGGGUUUA
This 380-nucleotide long non-coding RNA is filed under the name Lathyrus oleraceus (garden pea). Its description in RNAcentral is "Pisum sativum (pea) long non-coding RNA (PSAT_LNC003792)". Lineage: Eukaryota; Viridiplantae; Streptophyta; Magnoliopsida; Fabales; Fabaceae. The record is from RNAcentral.